This 256-nucleotide long non-coding RNA is filed under the name Medicago truncatula (barrel medic). Its description in RNAcentral is "long non-coding RNA (MTRU_LNC005771)". The record is from RNAcentral. Lineage: Eukaryota; Viridiplantae; Streptophyta; Magnoliopsida; Fabales; Fabaceae.
GGAAGAAUACGGGUAUCCUUCUUUGACCAUCCAUGGUUUGUGAAUUUUCUCUUUAAACAACAAAGAAGUAGAUAUUAUGUCCUCAUCAAAACAAAAUGUUGAACUGAUGUAGAUGAUUGUAUCUGUUGCCUGCUUUACUGUAUGAUAGAUCAAUGCUUCUUAGAAUAUAUUGUCCUCGAUGAUGUGGCAUGAUUGAAAUAUUUACUUUGACGAUAAUCAUGCUACACAAGUUUGCAUAUAUAAUGAAAUAAGCGUG